RNAcentral lists this long non-coding RNA (1363 nucleotides) under Oryctolagus cuniculus (rabbit). RNAcentral describes it as "lncRNA (ENSOCUG00000038977.1)". Lineage: Eukaryota; Metazoa; Chordata; Mammalia; Lagomorpha; Leporidae. The record is from RNAcentral.
AUGGCUGGUGAUGUGCCGAUCCGAAGCCAGGAGCCAGGUGCUUCCUCCUGGUCUCCCAUGCGGGUGCAGGGCCCAAGCACUUGGGCCAUCCUCCAUUGCCUUCCCGGGCCACAGCAGAGAGCUGGACUGGAAGAGGAGCAACUGGGACAGAAUCCGGCGCCCCAGCUAGGACUAGAACCUGGAGUUUUUGAGAGAGAAAUGGAUUCAGGGUUGUUCUUGAUGACUGAAGAUCUGCAUGCAUGCGCGCUGAACCAGGAGCAGUGUAUUAUGGCUACAUGGAGGGCAUUUGACCCAAAACUAAUAGUUGAGACUCGUAGAGGCAAGAUCUAUGCCCUGCCUUCUACCCUCUGGAUUCAGCUUUGAAAACUCCUCAGCAUUGUCUCCAGCUUUCUCCCUCAAGGUAGGCAUAUUCCUGAAAACCAAGCAGGACUGUUGGUUUCUGUGCUGCUGGAAGGAAGACUGGAAGCCUGAAUGGUCCAUGGGAUCCCUGGAAGCUGAAACACCUUUUUGUCCAGGGCCAUUUCAUACUUGGAACAAUGUCAUGUUGUCCUAUGUAGGGUCACCCUAGAAGUGUGUUUGGAGUGCGGGAAGUGAAAAGGAGGCGUCCUCUGCACCCAUACAUAGCUCAUAUUUUUGACCAGCUGCCUUACUCCUUCCUUUCUUCAUCUAGAGAUUGAACCUGGUUCUUACUUUUUCAGAGCUCCUGUAGCAUUUGUAGUUUGGAUUUAGUUAAUACUAAGAAUGUUCUUUCUUGUUAUCUGACUUUGGACCAGAAAUAAUGGGGGUGUUUGCUGUGCUUUGAGUAUGGUUUGUCUCAACCAAAACUCACACAGAAGUUUAGUCACCAGUGUAAAAGUAUUGAGAAAUGCAGAGGCCUUUAAGAGGGACUGCUUAACUUGUAGAAGUGAGUUCUUUCUUUCAUGCCCUGGAUUAAUGAUUUCUAGAGUGAGCUAUUACAAAGGAAAUGUGGUGCCUCCCCUCCGGCUGUUCUGCCUGCACCUGCUUUCCCUUUCUGGUUUUCUGCCAUAUUUGAAUGGCUAUGAGACCCUCACCAGGAGCUGCCUCUGCCAUCAUGCUCUUGGUCUUCCAGAAUUGUGAGCCAAAUAAGUGUAUUGUCUUUUAAAGACUUAAAAGGACCCAGCCUCAGGGAUUUUGUUACAGAAAUACACAUUAAAAAGCGCUAAGACAGUAUUUAUCAGGGAUCUUCAAAAAGUUCACAAAAAUGCAUAUUCUGAAAAAAAAUGAUGUGAAUUUUAAAACUUCUUCACAUCACUCUAUUCUUCUAUUACGUUUUAAGGUACUCAAGAGAGUACCUUAAAGUAAAAUCUCUAUUAAUCAUAUGUAAACUCUUUAGCACAUUAUG